CCUUCGCGACGUGUUUCAGGUGCCCUGUGACUGCAAGGUCGACCGGGUGAAACAGGGAAGCCGGUGCGACUCCGGCGCUGCCCCCGCAACGGUAAAUCGAGUCAAGACCGCGCAUGGCCACUGGGUGUUCGAACCCGGGAAGGCGCCCGGUCAGGAUCGCCCGGCGAUCCGCUCGUGAGCCCGGAGACCGGCCUGCAAACAGUCAACGGC
RNAcentral lists this non-coding RNA (210 nucleotides) under Pseudomonas putida. Lineage: Bacteria; Pseudomonadati; Pseudomonadota; Gammaproteobacteria; Pseudomonadales; Pseudomonadaceae. The record is from RNAcentral.